Molecule: long non-coding RNA, 796 nt
Organism: Dreissena polymorpha
Lineage: Eukaryota; Metazoa; Mollusca; Bivalvia; Myida; Dreissenidae
Exons: 3
Source: RefSeq, a predicted model, not a curated record
GCUGAGGAGUGCCAUUCUGAAAAAAUAUUACAACGCUUUAUUAGCUGUGUCCACAGCCUUUGGCGUUGUUGUAGAGGCUGUAGCAGUAUUUAUUGUGGUGUUCAGCAGACGAAUACAUCGCCAGUGUGUUGGAGGAACUCGUGCUAACAUUGAAUCGCCCUCUCACAAUACGUACGACGACUUGGCACAAAGAUCAAUGAAUCCCAGCCACUAUGACUCCCUGCCAAUGUCAACCAUUGGACAACAGGGACGUUAAUAAAAUGUAAACGAACGUCAUCUCAAUGAGUGAUCGGCACUUACAAAUCUGUGGACUUUUCCGCUCCCGGUGUAAACAUUUUUUAUAACAUUUAGUAGUUUUGAAAUGAGUCAGAUUAAAAUAUCUUCUUAAAAUAUCUGAAAUCUCGUUAUCAUAAAGCUGUGUCAUCAUAUUUGUAAUUGUUUACCAGAUUAUGGUCAUUAUACUUAAACCGACUAAUAAAAGCCUAAUACAUUGAAACAGACGAUGAACGUUAAGGAAUAGAACAAUUGCGAAGCUAAUGUUCCGCGAGUCUGAUGCCGACAUUACUUCACGUUGCCAUACAAUUACAUGUACCGAAACGCGUUUACUUUUUGUCUACUUGAUUCACACAUAUAAAUAAUCGAGUUUUAUCUAGUUAAAUGUUGUUUAAUCCAAAUUCCAUACAAUGUGAUUGUAGGCAGCUUGGCAAUAAUAAUAUUUGUAUCGAUGUAAGCAUAAAGAACAAACCAAGGCAUGAAAUUGUUUUACCGUAUAUUAUGUAAAUAUUCUCAUAGUAUC